AACGCUGGCGGCAGGCUUAACACAUGCAAGUCGAGCGGGCGUAGCAAUACGUCAGCGGCAGACGGGUGAGUAACGCGUGGGAACGUACCUUUUGGUUCGGAACAACACAGGGAAACUUGUGCUAAUACCGGAUAAGCCCUUACGGGGAAAGAUUUAUCGCCGAAAGAUCGGCCCGCGUCUGAUUAGCUAGUUGGUGAGGUAACGGCUCACCAAGGCGACGAUCAGUAGCUGGUCUGAGAGGAUGAUCAGCCACAUUGGGACUGAGACACGGCCCAAACUCCUACGGGAGGCAGCAGUGGGGAAUAUUGGACAAUGGGCGCAAGCCUGAUCCAGCCAUGCCGCGUGAGUGAUGAAGGCCCUAGGGUUGUAAAGCUCUUUUGUGCGGGAAGAUAAUGACGGUACCGCAAGAAUAAGCCCCGGCUAACUUCGUGCCAGCAGCCGCGGUAAUACGAAGGGGGCUAGCGUUGCUCGGAAUCACUGGGCGUAAAGGGUGCGUAGGCGGG
RNAcentral lists this ribosomal RNA (503 nucleotides) under Bradyrhizobiaceae bacterium D214. Its description in RNAcentral is "bacterial SSU rRNA". It matches the Rfam family "Bacterial small subunit ribosomal RNA", at positions 32 to 579 of the family's 1533-position model. Lineage: Bacteria; Pseudomonadati; Pseudomonadota; Alphaproteobacteria; Hyphomicrobiales; Nitrobacteraceae. The record is from RNAcentral.